GCCAGGCCUGGUGACAUGUGCCUGUUGUCCCAGCCACUGAAGAAACUGAAGUGGGAGCAUCACUUGAACCCAGGAGUUCUGGGCUAUCAUGUUGCCAAUCAGGUGUCUGCACUAAGUUUGGCAUCAGUAUGGUGACCUCCAGGGAGACAGGGACUACUAAGUUGCCUAAAGAGGGUUGACCUGUGCCAGGUUAGAAACAGCAAGUCAAAACUUCUGUGCUGGUCGGUACUGGAAUUGUGCCUGGGAAUAGUCACUGUGCUCCAGCUGGGGCAGCAAAGGGACACCUGGUCUCUA
Otolemur garnettii (small-eared galago) is the source of this 294-nucleotide non-coding RNA. The record is from Rfam. Lineage: Eukaryota; Metazoa; Chordata; Mammalia; Primates; Galagidae.